RNAcentral lists this ribosomal RNA (460 nucleotides) under uncultured bacterium. RNAcentral describes it as "partial 16S ribosomal RNA". It matches the Rfam family "Bacterial small subunit ribosomal RNA", at positions 338 to 795 of the family's 1533-position model. The record is from RNAcentral.
CCUACGGGAGGCAGCAGUGAGGAAUAUUGGUCAAUGGACGAGAGUCUGAACCAGCCAAGUCGCAUGAAGGAUGACUGCCCUAUGGGUUGUAAACUUCUUUUAUAUGGGAAUAAAAUGUUCCACGUGUGGGAUUUUGUAUGUACCAUAUGAAUAAGGAUCGGCUAACUCCGUGCCAGCAGCCGCGGUAAUACGGAGGAUCCGAGCGUUAUCCGGAUUUAUUGGGUUUAAAGGGAGCGUAGGUGGAUUGUUAAGUCAGUUGUGAAAGUUUGCGGCUCAACCGUAAAAGUGCAGUUGAAACUGGCAGUCUUGAGUACAGGAGAGGUGGGCGGAAUUCGUGGUGUAGCGGUGAAAUGCUUAGAUAUCACGAAGAACUCCGAUUGCGAAGGCAGUUCACUGGACUGCAACUGACACUGAGGCUCGAAAGUGUGGGUAUCAAACAGGAUUAGAUACCCCUGUAGUC